ACGUUUUCCCGCUCGGGACGCACGAGCCGCUCCGACUGGGCAAGCGCAGUGCGCGUGUGGGGGAGGGGAGGGGAGGGCGCGCGCAUGCGCGCCUCCUCCCGCCGCCUUUCCAACGAGCCCAGUCCCCAAACCUAGUCGGGGCUCUACCCAAACUGACGUCCUUCGAGGCUUCUUCCUCCAAAUCCCCCCUACGAAUGUCCCUCUUCUUCGAUCCUCCCCCCAGCCUCCUCUCCCAGUUCUUCUGAUCCCUCUACUUCAAUCUCCCACCCCUUCUCCCUUAUCCCCCAGCCCCUUCCUCUCGUUGCCCAGAGCCCCCUUUUCUAAUACCCGCAGACCGCUCCCCUCCGAUCCGCUGUCUCCUAAUCCUCUCAGAUCUCCCUCCUCUCCCUCCCAAAUCUCCCGCAUGCUUCAACCCUCUCCCUGAUCCUCCGAACCCCAUCCCCUGCUCUUCUUAGAUCUCCGCCCUAAUCCCCCUUCACCUUCCCCUAAACUGCCGUCUCCUUUCAUUUCUCCAUAUCCCCCUGCUAAUUUCCCUGAACUUCUCACCCCUACAGACCCCUUCCUCCAUCUCAAGAUCACUUCUGAUUUUCAAAGACCCUCCCCAGCCUCCCCCGUUUAUUCUCCCUGGACCCCCACACCCAUCUCCUUUGACUGAUUGCUGCUAAGCCUCUGCUCUGCCUCUGCUCACCCUCCUUCCCAUGAGGCUUCUGCCCCUUUCAGGCCCUUCCUCCUAUCCCUAGCUUGGCCCUAGGCUGACCACUGGGCAGCCCCCCUCAUGCCCACACUCCCCCCUCACUGCCCUGUGGAGCUGGGCUCCCUCAGAGAGCAGGACAGCCCCCUGGCCCAGCUACACCAACUGGCGAUUGCCGGAGGACCCUGCUGGCGGCUGGCCAGGGUCCUGAAAAAAGGGGUACAGGUGGAUGGGGAAAACUCAUCAGGUCAGACCAGCCUCUUCCUGUCAGCGCUCCUGGGCCAAGCCGGUGCUGUUAGACUUCUUCUCCACUUUGGAGCAGACCCCAAUCACCGCUGCUUGGAUAGAAGUACCCCAGUCCAUGCAGGAGCUUUCUCCGGUCGUGGCCAGGUCCUCCUUUGGCUGCUGGAGGCUGGCGGAGAUCUGAGGCUGCAUGACCAGCAGGGCUGGACAGCCGGGGAUUGGGCCCGGCAGGCUAGAUCAGAGAGCCGGGAAAGACAAAAUGAUGGCAUAUGGUGGUUAGUGAGCUGGCCUCCAAGACAGGAAGACUUGGUCUUGGAGCUCCUUCAAGAUUGCCGAGCCAGAAUGUCCCUGCUGGCCCAGGGGGGUGAGACUGCACUGGCUUCGUCCUUGGGGGAGCUGUGGGGGCUCCGGGCUGGAACUCUGGGAAACCUGCACCUGGCCCUGUCCUCCCAGCUCUGGCCUCUGGCCAAAGGGUCACUGUGGCCCAAUCGGAUGCAGAGGUCCCCCCAGAUCCCAGGGCUGGGGUUUGGCCAGCUGAGCAGUCUGAGACCUCUGGGCCUUACCUCUGGGGUUCCCCUGGUUGAUCCUGAAGAGUUGCUCCCAGCACAGGGGGAGCCUGACCGGACAUAUGAUUGCGGCGCCCACACCAUUAUGAUCAACCUCCUGUGGAGGGGACACCGAGUGACCGUUCGGAAACUGAGGCCACCCCCAGCCCCGGCCCUCCCAGACCUGCUGUUCUCUGACCUGAAGCAUUGCAGCUUCCUCCAUCACCCAAACUUACUGCUGCUCAUGGCCCUGAGCCCCUCCCCUGACCUGGCCGGCCUGUCUCUCCUGUUUGAGCCCAUCCAGGAGGGCUCCCUGCACCAAGUGCUGCACCCCCAAGGGGAUGUGGCCUGCCCCAGAAUUCCCCCUGGAUUCUUCCCAGGGCAGCUGCUGUUACAGGUGCUGGAGGCCCUGCUGUUCCUCCAAGGCCAGGCCCGGGCCCACGGGGGCCUCAGCUCCCACGCAGUCCAGCUGGUUCGACCUGGGCUGGCCAAAGUCAGCAACCUGGAGCACGGGCGAUCCUUGCCCCGGCCCCAGCCAGAGCGAGCAUUUCCUUGGGGAGGCCCGAGCCCAGGGCCAUCUCCACCCUCUGAGCUGUACCCCUGGCUGCCACUGGAGCUGAUUCGGGGGGACCCUCCCACCUUGACUUCUGACUUUUACAGCUUCUGCAUUCUGACCCAAGAGGUCUUUACUGGGAACCUUCCCUGGGCUGGGCAAGAAGGCCUGCAGGUCAAAGCAAAGCUGGAGUCCGGGGAGGUGCCGGCGCUUGAUCCCCAGGUUCCCCUGACCUACCAGCCCCUGGUCAAGGCAGGACUGGGGCUGUGGCCUCGAGACCGAAAAGGCAGCCUACAGGACACCCGAUACAAGUUGAGGGUGGUGUUAGCUCAGGAGUCUGCACUCAAAGAAGCCUCUUUGGGCAGUCUGGGCGGUCCCCCUUCAGAGCCAAAGACCCUACCACUGCCACCUGGUAAGGAGGGGCAAGUGGGCAGGGAAGGCAUCCACCCUCCAGUCCAGCAUCAUUUGCCUUGCCCUGCACACACAGAGCAGCUCUCUGAGGUGGAUCUCAAGGUCACUAGCACACCUAGACCUCCAUCCCCCAAGAUGGCCCCAAACCCCAAACCAUCUGAGACUUUGAAGUCCCCUGAGAGCAGUGGGGCCUGGGGAAACACCUGGAGCUCCCCAGCCUUGGACUCGGGAAGCAGCCUAAGCCUGAGCUCCCAGACUGAAGAAGCGUCACCAGCAGACAAGAGGAAGAUACCCAGUCCAGAGAGGCCAGCCCUGCUGACCAGUCUGGAAGGGUCAGCCUCCCUGCUGGGCCAGGUCCAGGGCUCCCUGGAGGAACUGGAGAGAAGGUUCCCAGCCAGGAUCUGGGCCCUGCAAGAUCUAUCAGAUGUCUUAGAGGCAUCCGCAUCCCCAUACACCUGCCCUCAGAGUGGCCCCAGUCUUCAGGAAUGCAUAGACCUUGCGGCCCAGGCCUGACACCUGGACAGACAGGAGGGUCAGACCCAGGUGUCGGUUCCUGAGCUGGCUAAAGCUGGUCCCUUCACCAGCCUGCAGAAGGGCCUCCAAGCCAAGGAGCUGAGAGUGGAC
This is a non-coding RNA of Phascolarctos cinereus (koala), 3067 nucleotides long. NCBI's taxonomy places the organism in Eukaryota, Metazoa, Chordata, Mammalia, Diprotodontia, Phascolarctidae. The record is from RefSeq and is a predicted model, not a curated record.